UGGUCUUUCUUUUCCGUUUGUGGCUAGGGAUGAUCUUUUCAUUGUUAGUGACAGCGUUUGAAAACAUCAGGAAUGAUGAAGACAAAGGAUACAUAGGGGAGUGAAAUGGAGGAUAGAAUUGAUUCCACGGUUUUGCAAGUGGAUUAGAUCCUGAAGUCAGAUGUCCCCAGAUUACAUUGUGCUUUGUAGGCGCCGAGCUAGCCAAACAAAAUAAAAAGAACCCUGCCUGUGCUCUUGCCUAUGUAAUGUAUUCCUGUUUAGUUAACAGAAACACUGCUCUUCCGAAUUUCCAGGUUAAUCUUCAAUUUUGUAAUUACAGUAGUAAUUAGUGUAAAUUAGCAUAAUCAAUUGAGAAUUAAUUAACACACUUGAGAAUUAUUUAUUCAAGAAUUUAAAAUAUUAUAGUAUUCUACAUAAAUUAGCUAAAGAUGCUGAUUGAACCUGAAGUAUCGUGAAUUUUAGAAACCAUUCACCUUAGACAUACUAAAAUUUUACCUUUUAUUCCUUUAAGAGACAAAAGAGAGAUUAUUUUCAAAAAUUAUUUUGUCAUUCUAAAUCUACAUUUUCUUUCCUAGAUUCCAGGACAAUGAUUAAUGAUAAGAAUCAUAGCUAAAAAUAUUCACACUAAAAAUUAAUAGAAAUAGUAAAUAUUGUCUUAAUUACUUCAAAGAGAUGAGAUUAAAAGUGAUUCUCCGUUACUAGGGCAUACAUCCAUGUCAUAAUUCCAUUUAAGGUGGAAAUAGGGAUGCAGGUUAUGCAUCACAUUAAUGACAACACAGUAAACUAUUUGAUCUCAUUUAUUCAGGCUCUCAACACACACACCCCCCCAUUGAAUAUAAUUUAUUUCGUCUUUCUGUAUAGACUUUCUUCAGUUUGGCUAUAAGAUGAUUCCUAUCUAAAGAGAAACCCUCCUAUGUAAAGAAUCAGCACACCUUAAAAUUGCAUCUAGCCACCUUGAAACCUCUGCUAAAGAUGCAUGCCCCUCCUUGGUCUACUUGAAAAAGUGGGAGGGAUAGAUAGCAGAGGUGCUAAAUGCUGAGACUGAAUUUUUUUUUUUUUUUCCUGGCUGGGGAAAUGAGGAGGUCCCUUCCUGAUUUAUCCAGAAAAAAUAAUGUUAGCAUUCUGGAGAAAGAUGUUGGACACAGAAACCACGUAGGGAGAAUGAUGGGGAAAAAAACCCGAGAGCAGUGAGAGGCUUGACAUUCAUCACGAAAACCAGCCAGGUGGGCAAGGAGCAUGAGGAUUGGGGGGAGAGGGGGUUUCUAGUUGGGUCCUCCUUCCCCCUGCACCCAUCCUUUAAAUUAACAGGAAAACUGGCAUGGACUUGGAGAACAGACUUGUAGUUGCCAAGGGGGAGGGGGAGGGAGUGCGAGGGACUGGGAGUUUGGUAGAUGCAAACUGCUGCGUUUGGAGUGGCUGGGUGGUGAGAUCCUGCUGUAUAGCACAGGGACGUAUAUCCAAUCACUUGUGAUAGAACAUGAUGGGAGAUAAUAUGAGAAAAAGAAGGUACAUGUCUGUAUAACUGGGUCACUUUGCUGUACAGUGGAAAUUGACAGAACAUUGUAAAUCAACUAUAAUAACAUCUCUUUAAAAAAAACGCAUAAAUUGGGAGGCACUGAAGUCUGGAUCUUCCUUUCCAGGAUGUCCACCAGAAGAGAGAUGAAAGUGGAGAGUCAAAUGAGGCCAAUAGCUUGGGUUCGGAGCCUAGGUUUGGAUCCUAGCUUUACCACAUCCUCGCUUUGUGAUUUGAUCUCUUGGAGUCUUACCAUCUGUAAAAUGAGAAUAAUAAUAGCAUCUGACUCACAGAGUUAGUCUCAAAAUAAAAACAGCAAUAGCUAAAAUUUACUGAGCCUUUACUGUGUAUCUGGCCUUGUGCUAACCUCCUGACAUUUGCUGUCUUAAUCCUAUCGUUACUCUCUUUUUACAGAUGAGGAAACCAAAGCUUGGCAAGAUGAAUUCCCUUGUCCAGAGACAUUCAUCAAGGAGGCAGCAAGUGCUUGAUUAAGGGUAGUGUCAGACAGUGCAAGCAUCAAGGGUGAGAGGGUGCAAGCAUCACGGGGCCCUGAGGCAUGGCAGCUAUGACUACUCCCACAGAGCUCUCUGAAAGUGUGGUGACACCACAUGCGAUGGCAGGGCCAGAGGGAAGAAGGAACUUGCCAUUUACACUCUCGGGGUUGGGCAGCAGUGGAGAAGGGGACACUAGAACUUUGUACCAUGCCAUGGAAAUUGUCCUCUUUAAUGCAUUUCUCAAGUUUCCUUCUUCUGUUCUGAGAAAUAAAGCACUGGACUGAGGUUGAGGAAAAUUGUGUUCCAGCCCCAUGGUCAAGUACACCUUGAUUAUCUACUCAGGCAUACGUCAGCCCUGGGACAUCCUGGGAGCUUAGCGCACAGGGCAUGUCGCUACCUGAUUGAUCUUCUCCCAAGGGCAGGCGUCACUAGAGAUUACCUGAUCUGUGCUUGGGACACCCAAGUGGGCGCAGGAUGUGACAGAGGUUUCUGGGUCUCCCUUCAGCUCAGACAGUCCUGGACCUGGUGCAGACACAAAACCAAGAAUAGCAAUCAUAUUUUUAAGUUCCCUACAUUUUUAAAUUACUUUGAGAUCUUGACUAACCAAUUCAUCAGAGACAUCUAGAAAAAAAUCACUUUUAUACAUUGCAAUUAUUUGAAAUAAAUUGUAGAAUCCUACAUUUCUCAGCCCUUAUUUUGCCAUCGUUUUUUCUUCAGUGGCUGCCCCACAGAAAUUAGAGUGGGAAAAGGAUUUGCAUGAAGGUGGCAUGUCUCGUGUUUUAAACACAAUUACCGUAGCCAUCCUCCGAAUUAUUCUGUAGGGACCCUUCCGUUGAUGACCAAGGAAAUGCAGGGCACCAAGAUGAUGAUAUUUUCUUAUAUACCAAGAUGAUGUGUAGGGAUUUCAGAUGUGUAGCUCCUAUUAAAGUUGACAAGAGUUGUGCUGUUAAAAUCCCCUCGUGACAUUUUACAUUCUAUCCGGGGACGUCUGAAGAAGGUGCCGAAGGAUCAUCAAAACACCAGCAUCACUUUGAUAAACUUGUCACCAUGUAAAAUAAAAUACGUGAAUGUUUGCUUCUUUUCCUCUGAAAUAUAAAGUAAUUAUGACUAUACAAAAACCUUUUACCAUAACUAAUUAACUAGAAGCUCCUCAUAAACUAUGUGUCGACAGCACCGUAUGUCUAAUUAUCUUUUUUCGCUUCGGAAUUGUGAUGUUGAAUAAUGAAGAAAACACUACCUGAUGAAGUCUUUUACUUUAUGAGGAUAUCUCUGGAGACACAAAGGCUUAAAUGCCAUCUUCAAUUACAUCUUGGCCUUGGCAAGUUCUCAGCUGGUUUUGAUUUGCGUGGAAACCACAUUACCUUUAAAACUUUAUGGAAGGAAGGAAGGAAGGGAGGGAGGAAGGAAAGAAAGAAGGGAGGGAAGUAGGGAGGGAUGGAGAAAGGAAAGGCUUGUGAUAAUUAUUAAAAUGGGCCCUGCAGCUGUUUAAGCACUCCGUUCCUCCUAGCCAUGAGAGACCCUUUUCACAUGUAGGAAGUCAGGGCACAGCUGUAUACGUCCAGCCUAUUCUGUUGGGCAUUGUGGCUUGGGUUUUGCCAAUUCCAUUAAAAUGCCUCUUCUCUGCCUGCUCCAUAAUGAACCACUCUAACUAAUUCAAACCAGACAAGCAUGAACUUAUACGACAGAAACGGGAGGUCAAUUUGGGGGGGAGGUUUUGGCAUGUGUAUAAUUUUUUUAACCUUCGAAAGCAAUAGCUCAAAUCGAUACCUGCAGGCACUUAUGUGUAAGACCAGACAUGCUAGAAAGGGCGUUUUCAGCCCUUGCGUAUUUCCAAGCCUGUGCCCAUUUUUCAAAUAUUUCUACAUUUCUCUUAGGGCUCAGGGGUAUAUUUCAACAGGAUUGGCUAUUAAGUGGCACUUUCCUAGCACACGAGGGCAACCCUGUCUUUGGAUAGUCCAGGCAGAGUGCAUUAAAAUCUAGAAGCUUUGCCAGAAGCAGGGAUCUGGGGCGUACUCAGCUACAAGAGGGGCACCCCGCAGGCCUGGGUUUCUUUUCCCAGGUGUCUGUUGGUAUUUUCAUUCCGGCUAUUUAGUUGGUAUUUCUAACAGUGCUUCCUAGGAAGAAAACAUGAAUCACCUGAGGUCUUGUUAAAAUGCAGAUUUUGGUUCAGUAUCUCUGAGAUGGGGCCUGAGGUUCUGCAUUUUUAUCACGAUGCUGGUGUAGCUGGUUCAUGGACCCUACUUUGAUCAACGAGGCCUCCACUCCUCCAAACUAACUCCAGGACUUCCUCUCCUGAAAUAAAUCCUUUCUCUUCCUCCUCAGUCUUUCUCUGAGAUCAGGGAACACAGCAACAGUACUUGUUAUUUGUCUUGGUGUUUACAGAGCCUGGGUCUUAUCGGAUGGCUCAAUGUCUCCCAUGAGUAAGGUUUACCUUCACAAGUAGAUUCUAGGAUGUGCUUCCUUCUUCUUUUGCCUCUUCACCAUAGCAACAGUGAUGACACUGGAAGCACAAAGGCCACUACUUAUUAAAUAGAAUUGAGUUGGACUGGAAAGAAUUGGCUAUGAUCUCUUAUGCCAUGUUGGGAAUACGCUUCUUUCCAAACAGGAUUUGCAGACUCUGUGAGAGCUUUUUUGGGGAGGUUUCAUAUUUUAAAAUAUUUGGAGCAGUGCUGUUCUUUUCUCUUUCUUUUUCUUUCUUUCUUUUUUUUUUUUUUUUCUUUUUAGGGCCACACCUAUGGCAUAUGGAAGUUCCCAGGCUAGGGUCAAGAAUGGGAGCUGCACAGUGGGUUAACGAUCCGGCGUUGCCGUGAGCUGUGGUGUAGGUUGCAGACGCGGCUCAGAUCCCGCGUUGCUGUGGCUCUGGCGUAGGCCGGUGGCUACAGCUCCGAUUCAACCCCUAGCCUGGGAACCUUCAUAUGCCGCGGGAGCGGCCCAAGAAAUAGCAAUAACAACAACAACAACAACAAGAC
Molecule: long non-coding RNA, 4976 nt
Filed under: Sus scrofa (pig)
Lineage: Eukaryota; Metazoa; Chordata; Mammalia; Artiodactyla; Suidae
Description: lncRNA (ENSSSCG00000044927.1, ENSSSCG00035079309.1, ENSSSCG00105038096.1)
Source: RNAcentral